GAGCUUGCUCCUUUGACGUUAGCGGCGGACGGGUGAGUAACACGUGGAUAACCUACCUAUAAGACUGGGAUAACUUCGGGAAACCGGAGCUAAUACCGGAUAACAUAUUGAACCGCAUGGUUCAAUAGUGAAAGGCGGCUUUGCUGUCACUUAUAGAUGGAUCCGCGCCGUAUUAGCUAGUUGGUAAGGUAACGGCUUACCAAGGCAACGAUACGUAGCCGACCUGAGAGGGUGAUCGGCCACACUGGAACUGAGACACGGUCCAGACUCCUACGGGAGGCAGCAGUAGGGAAUCUUCCGCAAUGGGCGAAAGCCUGACGGAGCAACGCCGCGUGAGUGAUGAAGGUCUUCGGAUCGUAAAACUCUGUUAUCAGGGAAGAACAAAUGUGUAAGUAACUGUGCACAUCUUGACGGUACCUGAUCAGAAAGCCACGGCUAACUACGUGCCAGCAGCCGCGGUAAUACGUAGGUGGCAAGCGUUAUCCGGAAUUAUUGGGCGUAAAGCGCGCGUAGGCG
RNAcentral lists this ribosomal RNA (516 nucleotides) under Streptomyces albus subsp. albus. RNAcentral's name for it is "bacterial SSU rRNA". It matches the Rfam family "Bacterial small subunit ribosomal RNA", at positions 76 to 577 of the family's 1533-position model. Lineage: Bacteria; Bacillati; Actinomycetota; Actinomycetes; Kitasatosporales; Streptomycetaceae. The record is from RNAcentral.